UACGGGGGGGGCAAGCGUUGUUCGGAAUUACUGGGCGUAAAGGGCGCGUAGGCGGCCUACUAAGUCGGAUGUGAAAUCCCUCGGCUCAACCGAGGAACUGCAUCCGAUACUGGCGGGCUUGAAUCCGGGAGAGGGAUGUGGAAUUCCAGGUGUAGCGGUGAAAUGCGCAGAUAUCAGGAGGAACACCGAUGGCGAAGGCAGGUCUCUGGGCAUUAACUGACGCUGAGGAACGAAAGCCAGGGUAGCGAACGGG
Molecule: ribosomal RNA, 253 nt
Filed under: uncultured bacterium
Lineage: Bacteria
Description: partial 16S ribosomal RNA
Rfam family: Bacterial small subunit ribosomal RNA
Source: RNAcentral